Molecule: transfer RNA, 76 nt
Filed under: [Eubacterium] brachy
Lineage: Bacteria; Bacillati; Bacillota; Clostridia; Peptostreptococcales; Anaerovoracaceae
Also listed under: 4 other names
Description: tRNA-Val
Rfam family: tRNA
About the family: Transfer RNA (tRNA) molecules are approximately 80 nucleotides in length. Their secondary structure includes four short double-helical elements and three loops (D, anti-codon, and T loops). Further hydrogen bonds mediate the characteristic L-shaped molecular structure. tRNAs have two regions of fundamental functional importance: the anti-codon, which is responsible for specific mRNA codon recognition, and the 3' end, to which the tRNAs corresponding amino acid is attached (by aminoacyl-tRNA synthetases). tRNAs cope with the degeneracy of the genetic code in two manners: having more than one tRNA (with a specific anti-codon) for a particular amino acid; and 'wobble' base-pairing, i.e. permitting non-standard base-pairing at the 3rd anti-codon position.
Source: RNAcentral
GGGCGUAUAGCUCAGCUGGGAGAGCAUCUGCCUUACAAGCAGAGGGUCAUAGGUUCGAGCCCUAUUACGCCCACCA